Molecule: long non-coding RNA, 835 nt
Organism: Oxyura jamaicensis (ruddy duck)
Lineage: Eukaryota; Metazoa; Chordata; Aves; Anseriformes; Anatidae
Exons: 3
Source: RefSeq, a predicted model, not a curated record
UGAAAGCCCUAGAAACACUGGAUCUGCUGGGAACAACAUGCACUUCCUUUCUGCAGUCCCAGGAAUGACCUUAAACAAAGACAUUGUUUGCUGUGGGCCGUGCUCUGUCAUCCCUGCUAGCCAUGAUUAUCAAACGGCUUAGCAAAUGGCUCGAUGAGAACAGGACUGCUUGUGGGAUAGGAAACCUCAGCUUGCGCAGGAGCUCAGGGACUGGUCCCCAGACUCCUACUUUUGUGAGUGCUGCUCAGAGGAGGCUAAACACUGCUCAACAAGGCUGAAAUGAACAGGGCAAUUGAUUGAUGGCUUUGAUUGAAACCAGAACACAUAAUGAACAUCAGUGCUGAGGCCUCAACAAGUCCUGCAAACAUGGGAGAGAACAGUGUCAGAACUACUGAGCACCUGGAGACCUCCUGGCAUCCUCUGUCCUGCCUCUGGAACCCUUUCCUUAGCCAUCAGCCGCCUCUCUCAGGAUGAGGAUGGUGUAUGAGCUGGACCCCUGCUCUGACCCAGUACAGCUAUCCGUCAGCCAUUUUGCAUCGUUAUGUAUUUGAGAGGGAAAGAAAGCAGCCAAACGGAUUCAAAACAAGUGCUGAUGAAUGUGAAUCUACCCUAUGGUCUCCCACUAACUUGCCCUGUAAUCUUAUAGAAAAUGAACCAAAGACCCCACUUAGAGGCAAAGUGUGAAGGAGAUUGACAAAAAUGAGACCUGGCUGUCUGGCCCAGAGCAGCGGCAUAUUCCGAUGUGACCUGGUGCGGGCGGGCGAAUGCCCAGUGGCAGCUCCUGUGUGACUGAGGCCGAGCAUUGCCUUUCUUCUGCCAGGACAUAAGGAGCCCA